RNAcentral lists this ribosomal RNA (253 nucleotides) under uncultured bacterium. RNAcentral's name for it is "partial 16S ribosomal RNA". It matches the Rfam family "Bacterial small subunit ribosomal RNA", at positions 524 to 776 of the family's 1533-position model. The record is from RNAcentral.
GACAGAGGUGCCGAGCGUUAGGCGGAAUCACUGGGCUUAAAGCGUGUGUAGGCGGGUCGUUAAGUACCUUGUGAAAUCCCACGGCUCAACCGUGGAACUGCUGGGUAUACUGGCGAUCUUGAGCAGUCUAGGGGCGAGCGGAACAAACGGUGGAGCGGUGAAAUGCGUAGAUAUCGUUUGGAACGCCAACGGUGAAAACAGCUCGCUGGGGACUUGCUGACGCUGAGACACGAAAGCCAGGGGAGCAAACGGG